This 253-nucleotide ribosomal RNA is filed under the name uncultured bacterium. Its description in RNAcentral is "partial 16S ribosomal RNA". It matches the Rfam family "Bacterial small subunit ribosomal RNA", at positions 524 to 776 of the family's 1533-position model. The record is from RNAcentral.
UACGGAGGAUGCAAGCGUUAUCCGGAUUCAUUGGGUUUAAAGGGUGCGUAGGCGGAAUAAUAAGUCAGUGGUGAAAGCCUGUGGCUCAACCAUAGAAUUGCCAUUGACACUGCUAUUCUUGAGUAUAGUUGAAGUGGGCGGAAUGUGUAAUGUAGCGGUGAAAUGCUUAGAUAUUACACAGAACACCAAUUGCGAAGGCAGCUCACUAAGCUGUUACUGACGCUGAGGCACGAAAGCGUGGGGAGCAAACAGG